CUCACGCCCCAAUAAAAAAAAAAAAAAAGAGGCGUACCCAACGCAUCGAGCCCCCAAACCCUAGCAUUUUCAAGUUGAAGAUUGAUACAAUGCCGGAGUCAAGAGACAGAUUAUCGAGGCCUGACGACAUUACAGCAAUGUUUGCUCGUCGGCGGCAAUCGAUUGGAGGCAUAGCGAUCCUACUUGAUGAACCAGAAGAGGUGGGUUCUGGAACUCCGUUCCGGUGGGGAGCGACGGCGAUGACGGGUACGCGUGGAGCGAUGGGAUCGGCUGCUACACGAGGUGGUGGUGUCGGAAGGGGUAGUUUGGGAACUCCAAGAACUAGAAAUAGGCGUGGUGGUAGCCAGAGUUUGUAUAGAUCGCCGGUAGUGGUGGGUUGAGAGAACACGCCUUUGGGAACAGUUCGGCGAGGCUGAGGACGAGGAGGACGUGGUAGUGUGUGUCGUGCGGGUAACGAUUCUUUAAGUCUCCUGAUCUAUUGGCUGCCUUUGGUUAUGUUAUAUUCAUUUCUGUUUUGAUUUAUUUCCAUUAAUGUUGUCAUUUUGGUGUUUUUAGUUUGAUAAUGUGUAGGGUUGCGAUGAAAUUCGGUUAAGUUUAACUCAUUUUUUGUUGGAUAUGAUUCAUCUGAGGUCAUUUAUUCUGUA
Long non-coding RNA from Camellia sinensis, 644 nucleotides. RefSeq lists it as uncharacterized. The record is from RefSeq and is a predicted model, not a curated record. Lineage: Eukaryota; Viridiplantae; Streptophyta; Magnoliopsida; Ericales; Theaceae.